RNAcentral lists this ribosomal RNA (512 nucleotides) under uncultured bacterium. Its description in RNAcentral is "bacterial SSU rRNA". It matches the Rfam family "Bacterial small subunit ribosomal RNA", at positions 8 to 521 of the family's 1533-position model. The record is from RNAcentral.
AGAGUUGAUCCUGGCUCAGGACGAACGCUGGCGGCAUGCCUAACACAUGCAAGUCGAACGGAACUUUGAGAAUGAAGUUUUCGGAUGGAUUUUUCAAAGUUUAGUGGCGGACGGGUGAGUAACGCGUGAGCAACCUGCCUUUCAGAGGGGGACAACAGUUGGAAACGACUGCUAAUACCGCAUAAUGUAUCGAGAUCGCAUGACCUUGAUACCAAAGAUUUUAUCGCUGAAAGAUGGGCUCGCGUACGAUUAGAUAGUUGGUGAGGUAACGGCUCACCAAGUCGACGAUCGUUAGCCGGACUGAGAGGUUGAACGGCCACAUUGGGACUGAGACACGGCCCAGACUCCUACGGGAGGCAGCAGUGAGGAAUAUUGGGCAAUGGGCGCAAGCCUGACCCAGCAAUGCCGCGUGAAGGAAGACGGUUUUCGGAUUGUAAACUUCUUUUAAGAGGGACGAUAAUGACGGUACCUCUUGAAUAAGCCACGGCUAACUACGUGCCAGCAGCCGCGGU